This 301-nucleotide ribosomal RNA is filed under the name uncultured bacterium. RNAcentral's name for it is "partial 16S ribosomal RNA". It matches the Rfam family "Bacterial small subunit ribosomal RNA", at positions 509 to 807 of the family's 1533-position model. The record is from RNAcentral.
CAGCCGCCGCGGUAAUACGUAGGGUGCGAGCGUUAAUCGGAAUUACUGGGCGUAAAGCGGGCGCAGACGGUUACUUAAGCAGGAUGUGAAAUCCCCGGGCUCAACCUGGGGACUGCGUUCUGAACUGGGUAACUAGAGUGUGUCAGAGGGAGGUAGAAUUCCACGUGUAGCAGUGAAAUGCGUAGAGAUGUGGAGGAAUACCGAUGGCGAAGGCAGCCUCCUGGGAUAACACUGACGUUCAUGCCCGAAAGCGUGGGUAGCGAACAGGAUUAGAUACCCCCGUAGUCCCUGUCUCUUAUAC